RNAcentral lists this transfer RNA (68 nucleotides) under Soliperla sp. ZTC-2018. Its description in RNAcentral is "tRNA-Cys". Lineage: Eukaryota; Metazoa; Arthropoda; Insecta; Plecoptera; Peltoperlidae. The record is from RNAcentral.
GGCUUUAUAGUCAACAAUGAUAUUAGACUGCAAUUCUAAAGGAGUAGAAUAUAUUUUUACUAAGGCUU